GGCUCAAAACAUGGCUCAAAACCUGUGGCUCAAAAGAAUGAUGUCUGCUGAUGAAACUGACGCCUUUGGAAUGGUUAAGAAGGAACCUAAAACGCCCAUUAAGGGCGUCUUGGACAAACAGCCAGCUCCGAAGAUCAAGACAGAGAAGGGAUGUUUGAAAAAUGUCAGUGGGCCGGCAAACUCAGCAAAAGGUGAUCAGAAGACGGGUAACUCUAAACCAUCCCACAAGCCACCUAAGAAACGACAGAAAAUGACGGCUCGACCAGUCCCCAUUGCUCCCGCGGGGCAAGGCUGUAUCAAACCACCGCUAGUCAGUAAUGUGGUCUACACGAGCGAGCGCGUAAAGCGAUGCAGUUUUCCAGGCUGUAACUACGCAUCGAUGUUCAAGAAGGAGAUCAGGCAGCACGAGACCCAGGCGCAUCCAGAGAGUCGUAAAUGCAGUUUCUGCGAUCAUUUGGCACCGUCACAGAAGGAGCUGGUCAUUCACGUACACCGAUAUCACGCCAAGAAAAACGACCUGAGCUGUGACCAGUGCGGCUACCGCGGCGUUAAUGCAGCCCGUCUGCUCACACACCAGAGACUUGCCCACAACUUCCUGGCAACGCAGGACGUUAAACAUCUCGUGUGCCAUGAAGAGGACGCCGCCGGAGUCAGAUGCACCGCUAGGUUCGGCUUUCUGUCGCAGCUCAGAUGUCAUCUGACCGAACAGCACGGCAUCAGGCCUGCGGCAAUCAAACUCACCACCGGCUUCAAGACGGUCGAAGAGUUCAUGACGUGGAAGGCAGCCUACGAGCGGGAGAGCCAAACCCGCUACCGCCUGGUGGCCCGUCCGCUGCGAUGGGACCGGCCGGCCACCUAUGUGUGCUGCCGCUCCGGUCGGGGCUCCGAGGCCGCCUCCCGACUCCACCUCUACGAGAACCGGGGCUUCCGCUGCACGUCGACACUGCGCGCGACCGAGUCGUCAGCGGGUCGAGUGAGGAUCACCCUGUAUCCGUAUCAUUACGGACACGAUAGAGAGUGUCCCGAGAGUGAUAGUGAGGAUGAAGCGGCGGUGACUGAGACUGUGACGGAGACUGAGGACACGGCAGAGGUAGAGACUGAGAGUGACGGGUCAGAGGAGUGUGAUGACGUCGGAGGGGUUGGGAUGUCCAGGCCAAAUAUGGAUAUGGAUGUUUGUGAUGACGAUAUCGAUGGGAACGCGUCGGGUGAAGCGGAGGAGCCGGGUAGUCAGAAUGAGCCAAGUGGGAGGGUAUGUCGGCUGUUGGAGGUUAAGAACGAAUGUGACGGUGGUGAAAGGGAAGAAGAUGGAACUGCGGACGAGGAAGGGAUGGAGGGAGAUGAAACUCUGGAUGGGGAAGAGUUGGAAGAAGAUGGAAGUGCGAAUGGAGCUGCAGAAGGAGACGGGGCUGUGCAAGAGGAAGACGAAGAAGCUGGAUGUGCGGAUGAAGAUGCAGUAGGAGAAGAUGGAGCCGAGUAUGUUUUAUUGAAAAACGGAGCCGCGGCAGCUGCCGGCGCAGGCCGGAGGGCAGCUACCCGCAAAAGACCUCUUCAAGGGGAGGUUGCCAUAGUGCUGACGCCCAAGAAACCAAAGACGGCUCUGGCUGACCCCUCUCCGAGUCAGGAGAGUGGUCGGGGGACCGGUAGGGGCUCCCGCAGCAGCCCCCGUGUGACACGAGCGGUCGGCCGACCGGUACGUGUGGUCAGGCGGCCCGCCCGGCUUCAGUGAUAGGGGGAGGGUACACAGUAAUUUACGCUGCCUUAGCUGGAGUUGGAGUGUCCUUUCGACCUGUAACGUACCAUUCAGGGGCAGAUCGCUGCAAGCCUGAUGGGGAUCAUGGAACUCGUAGUCUCAUCAGACACGAAACAUUUGUGGAGCGGGCACAGGUUUCGAAAUGCAUUCUUUGUUUCAACAUUAAGUUCUUACUUAAUUCUGGGCGCUUUACAAUCCCAACACUCUGACUAUUUAAUUACGAGGCGGGAUGGGCGUGUCUCGGUGGGGUGGCGUCGGCAACGGGGCUCUCUGGACAACCUCUAAUGCGCGACGCGUUCGGCUUGGUGGCGGCGACUGGCGAUUUAGUUUGUUUGAAUCCAUUUUAAGUUCUUGUAUAUGUGUGUAUGUGUUUAUUUGCUUGUAUGUUCUUACUUAUCUUGAUUUUGUGUAUUCUUUUGUUUCUUAAUAAACGUGAUGAUGAUGAUGAUGAUUAAAAACCUAAAUUGAGAACGGCAUUCAUCAUGUCGGUGCUGAUUUCGGCAGAACCAUUUCAGCGAGGCAGUCGUUGAGAAACUUGUAUCUGUUUAGAUUACUUGCUAUCUUUUUCCUUAUGUUGAAUUAUUUCAUUACGUUAACGCUGCCAUCGUUGCGAAUAGACGUUUGUAAAUAAUCAGACAUGAUUGAGUUUUAUUCACGAUCGAUGGCAACACAAGUCAAAUUCCUAAAACCAGACGUUUCGGCCACAGGGUGCCUUCGUCAGUGGACACUAGUGAUUAAAUUAAAAACACAUAGUAUCAAAAACAAUCGGUAUAAAUCGUUCGAAGUCGACACAUCGGGCACAGGUUUCGAAAUGCAUUCUUUGAACGACUGCCUCGCUGAAAUGGUUCUGCCGAAAUCAGCACUGACAUGAUGAAUGCCGCUCUCAAUUUAGGUUUUUAAUGUUGAACCAAAGAAUGCAUUGAUGGAGCAUUUGAAUCGUAACAAUGGUGGAGUUACCGCUACAGUGGAUUUGUACACAUAGCACAGUGACGCACACGUGACUGUACGUAAGUUACGGUAUGCUAGCGUUCGAGAUAUCAGUCUCAAAUAUGAACUUUGGAAUGGGUAUUGUUUUUGGAAAUACGAGUAUAUUUUCUAAUUGAAGGAGGUCCCACAGAUUCCCUCGACAUGAGCCUCGUGAAUUUAAGGUGUUCCGUUGCCAUUCUGUUUUGUAUAAUAGAUGCAGGGUGUAGAAUGUAUAGUGUGUAGCUUCCGUAGAGUUUUGAAAUGGUCUCAUCAUCGCCUCAGUCAUUAUACAUUAUAUUGUUGCAUUGCGAUGGCCUUUCAAUGCGUUAUAAAUGCAUUCGUGUUAGUGAAUAUUUUGAUCAACUUUGUGAUGCGUGAACUCAGCAUUGUAUAGCAAUUGGCUGGUUUGUUUAUGCGUAAUAUAUGCGUAUUUUUAACCAUUG
Molecule: unclassified non-coding RNA, 3159 nt
Filed under: Amphibalanus amphitrite
Lineage: Eukaryota; Metazoa; Arthropoda; Thecostraca; Balanomorpha; Balanidae
Description: uncharacterized LOC122380386, transcript variant X5
Source: RNAcentral